This 425-nucleotide ribosomal RNA is filed under the name uncultured bacterium. Its description in RNAcentral is "partial 16S ribosomal RNA". It matches the Rfam family "Bacterial small subunit ribosomal RNA", at positions 354 to 796 of the family's 1533-position model. The record is from RNAcentral.
GUUAGGAAUAUUGGACAAUGGGCGCAAGCCUGAUCCAGCCAUGCCGCGUGAACGAUGAAGGCCUUCGGGUUGUAAAGUUCUUUAGCCGAUGAUUAUAAUGACUGUAGUCGGAAAAUAAGCCCCGGCUAACUUCGUGCCAGCAGCCGCGGUACUACGAAGGGGGCGAGCGUUAUUCGGAAUCACUGGGCGUAAAGCGUGCGUAGGCGGUCUAGUAAGUUAGGAGUGAAAGCCCAGGGCUCAACCUUGGAAUUGCUCUUAAAACUGCAAGGCUAGAAUCUCGGAGAGGAUAGCGGAAUUUCCAGUGUAGCAGUGAAAUGCGUAGAUAUUGGAAGGAACACCAGUGGCGUAAGCGGCUAUCUGGACGAGUAUUGACGCUGAGGCACGAAAGCGUGGGGAUCAAACAGGAUUAGAUACCCGUGUAGUCC